Molecule: long non-coding RNA, 763 nt
Filed under: Vigna radiata
Lineage: Eukaryota; Viridiplantae; Streptophyta; Magnoliopsida; Fabales; Fabaceae
Description: long non-coding RNA (VRAD_LNC016326)
Source: RNAcentral
GAAAAGCUCAUCAUUGAACUCCAUUCACAAUUUGGCAACAAAUGGGCCAGAAUGGCUGCUCUGGUAUGCAUUUUCUUUAUCUCCUUUUCUUCACUGCUUCAGAAUAUAUAUUGUAUCUGCAAAUGUAUCUAAUCACUCCAAAACUAAAGCUACAAUAAAAAUAUUUUAAGUUCUCAAUUCUUAAAGAUUGACAUGUUUGUCUGUGCUUGUUAACAUGGUAAGUUUUAAUUUUAGUCUUUUCAGAAAAAACUGUCCUAAUUUUGAUUGGUGUAUUAUAUGCAUUUAGACAUGUCUUGUUAAGUGAUCCUUGAUUGAACAUUUUAAUGCACCAUGUUCCAUCUAAAAUUGCACUAAUGUAGUAAAAAAAACCAGAUUUUGAACUCUGUUUCUUUGGUUGCUGCUGCGACACAGUUGCCUGGAAGAACAGACAAUGAGAUCAAGAACUACUGGAACACAAGGAUCAAACGUCGCCAAAGACAAGGUCUCCCUCUCUAUUCAGAUGAGAAUGAUCACCAUUGUUCCACAACACCAAAUCCUUCUCCAUGCUUCACACAAACAGGAUCAAACCCUAAUAACAAUCUCACAAACUUUGAGUUCUUCAAACAAAGCCACCACCAAAACUAUCAUCACCAACAACAACAAGAGCAACAACACUCACAACAACAACCUCUAUCUCCAUCUGUAACUCAACAUUCCCCUCUGAGUUCCCCUUUCCAUCACAGACAACCCUUCACCACUUCUUCACCUAUCACUUUCUUAGACC